Molecule: long non-coding RNA, 3209 nt
Organism: Anthonomus grandis grandis
Lineage: Eukaryota; Metazoa; Arthropoda; Insecta; Coleoptera; Curculionidae
Exons: 6
Source: RefSeq, a predicted model, not a curated record
UAUUCUAUAACUUCCCAUGUAGCUUAAAAUUAAAUUGUGUUAAAAUUUAUUGAUACAAUACUGCCGUCAUAGUGAAAAAGACCGUAUCUCGCAGUUUUGUCAAAAUUGAGAUUUUUGUAUUUUUGAAUUCUGCAGUUUGGCAUUUAUCUAUGGAUUAAAAAAAAAAAAAUCAAAUUUUAGUACAGAAAAAAGAUUUUGAAAAUAGUCAUUUUGCACAUUUUUAUAUUUAGGAUAAGCUUUACUUGCUAAAAAGACCGUAACUAGACAUUUCCUAAACAUAAAUACCGUAACUCUUCAAAAUAUGUUGAUAUUACUUGACAUUAAGACUGUAUCUAUAAAAGAUAAGCUCCCGCCAAAAGCGUACUUCCAAUACGGUGUUUAUAUUAAGUAGCGAAUUGACUUUUUGGUGGCGCGUGCCGCUUGGUGUCCCACAUGUGCCGUGAUUGCGUAAUAGUUUUAUUCAACCCGGACAUCUCUUUCAGUCAACUAACAGGUGUUUUUGUUUUCUUUUCGGCAAAUUGAUUCGCGGUUUUUUAACAUGGGAUCAAGGGCAAAAAGGAUGGUACUGCAAGUCUUGGAAAAUAAUCGACCAUUAGGACAAGAAUCUAGAAAUAGUUUAAACGACUCAACUAGUUUAAAGGACAGUUUGAUAAUAAGAGAAAACAUGAUUAUUUUGGAUGAAAACUUACAUCCCUUAAUUACGGACAGUUUUGUAGAGGAAAAUGUAAAUUUAUUGGAUAUGAAAGAUAUGUGUCAAAUUUUGGAUAUAGCCCAAUCAAACAAAAAACAAGAGGGAAGAGCAUUAAAUAAUUUUAUUCCCCAAAAGCCCGGUCCAUCCCGACACCUUUCCAGACGGCAGUAAGGAGGUACAAAGUCAGUUCUAUGGCGAGUAUUAUAGCCAUGUAUAUCUUGUCAACAAUGAACACAACGAAUUUGAUUUAAAAUAUAACAAAGAGACAGAAAAAUCACAGAGAUUAGGGCCAAAUAUUAUGGGUAUUGAAGGCAACCCAGAAAUGGUCCAGAUAAUGAAAAGCAAACAAAAGAUGGCGAGGAAUGCAGUGACCCUCAAGAAGAAGAGCUAGAGGGAUCUCAGACACUGGGUUCAGAAAUGAUGAAUACAGAAGCUGAUUCAGAAAUUGUUUAUGUCACAGAUAAAAUGAAAACCAAACAACAGGUAGAAAAAAACAUAAAUAGAGUUGACGAUGAGCGCUAUGAUCUCCAGGAACGCGAAGAGCUGGAGAUGCCAGAAAGACUACGGUCAGAAAUUAUGGAUGUUGAAGCUGACUCAGAAAUUCUUCAGACUUCUGAUAUUGAAAACAACACAACAGAAAGUGUGUCACUUGCUACUGCCGAAGAUUGUAUGGAAUUGGAUACUUCUUAUACAAAGAAAGGAGAGGCAAGAAGAAAAAAAAAUAUGUAGUAGAGGCAAGAAGAAAAAUAAAGAUAAAAGGAAGACUUUUUCAAGCGCCAAAAAAAAGGAGAAACAUGCUGUUAAAAAAAGUUGAGAGUGCAAAAGGAAUUGUUUGACUAAAAUUGGCGAACCACUUCGUUUAAAAAUUAAUAAUAGUUACUGGGCCAAAAAUUUUACGGAGCAGAAAGCGUUUUUAAACCAUUACAUAGAAAAAACAAAAACGAAAAGUAACAGUAUUAAAAAACACUUUACAAAAAAGUAUUUCUUAAAAGGCGAUGAUGGUGUGCAUGUAGAAAUCUGUAAGAUUUUUUUUGACAACUUUGGGAUACGCUGGCAAUAAUGAUACUAUUUUGCGAAUUAUAGGCAGUCCUUUGUCAGAUCAACGUGGUUCAUAUAAAAGUAUAAAGGCCGAUCGUGACAUUAUCCAAAAUCACAUUAAAAAAUAUUCACCAUGCGUGUCCCACUACAGAAGGGAACACGCGCCAAAUAAACUAUAUUUGCCCGGUGAUAUAACAAUUACAAGUAUGUUUCAAGAUUUUAAAAUAUGUCACGCCAAUAUGAAAAUAUCAUACGAACAGUUGUGAAAGAAAUGAAAAUAUCAUUUACGAAAUUGGGACACGAGGAGUGUGAGAAAUGCGAAUCUUUUUUUCUGCAUAAUUCUAGCCACAAUAAAGAAAACGCAUCACAAAAUACCGAUUGUUCUAAUUGUUCUGGAUGGCUAGAACACAUAAAAAAAGUUGAAUUUACUAGAGAGGAAUAUCGUGCUGAUAAAAUACAAACUAACAAUGAACAUAGCAUAUUCUAUUGUACCGAUAUGCAAAAAGUCAUUAUGCUUCCUAGAAUAGAUAUGUUCAAGCAAGUUGUAUUUACACCUCACAUAAUUGCCUUUAAUCAAUCCUUUGUUCCUCUUGGCAGUCUAACUCGGGAAAAUAAGGCUUUGGCAGUUCUUUGGCAUGAAGCCAUUGCUGGGAGAAAAAAAGAAGACUUAAUUAGCUGCUACAACGUUUCUAUUACUAAAUAUGCAAGAAAUAAAGAGAAUAUUUACAUAUGGGCAGACAAUUGCAGCGGGCAAAAUAAAAAUUGGUCGCUCUUAAGUUAUCUUGUAUAUAUAAUUAAUACCAAUUACACCGCCGCUCAAAAAAUAACCAUUAAAUAUUUUGAGCCCGGACAUACUUAUAUGUCAGCAGAUAGCUUUCAUCAUUUGGUGGAAAAAGGCCUAAAAGAAAAUCCCAAGGUCUGCGACUUUCAGGAUUUUUCAAAUGUUGUCCAAAAUUGCACAAAGAAUAAUUCCAUAAAUGUCAAAGAGUUAACCUAUGCUGAUUUUAAACACCAAAUUUCACUACUAACUAACAGCUCAAUAAAGUUAAUAAAGAUCAUCCACUCCCAAAAGAUAUUGUUUUGAUAGAAGUAAGGAGAGGAUGCAUUCAAUUAUUUUACAAAAAGUGCUUUAAAGAAACGGAUUUCAAAGAACUCCAUUUAUCCUCAAAAAAUAAUUUUUUGGCUCAAGCCCAGGACCCCAAAAGUUAUACGGCAAAUCAAGGCAUUUCGUCUGAGAGAAAAAAGAAGAUUCUAAGCAACUUAUCCCCCAUUAUUCCAAGCCAAAAAUUGCAUUUUUGGAAUAAUCUGGUUGAAGGCAAUGCUGUUGAUCCAAUUAAAAAUAUUGAAGAUAAAUAAAAUUAAUUAUUUAGUGGAAACAUAUAUAUUUUUUUUACAUAAUUUGAUAUAACAAACCUAAGUCAUUUGUUUAACUUCUACUUUGUUUCUACAUUUAAACAUUAAAACUUUAAAAUUACAUAAA